GCCUUUCAUUGGGGAUUUUGUUACAGGAAUCGACAUCUCGACACCUCUCUCUUACACACCACUUUUCACUAACCCGAUAAGCACGACUGGCUAUUCUGCUGCAGGUGAAUUUUCCACUGAUUAUUUUAUAGCUGUAAAAGGGAUCGAGGUAGAGGGCGAAAGAGUCGUGAUAAAUGAAGCAUUACUAUCCAUUAACAAGAAAAAUGGGAUUGGAGGAACAAAAAUCAGCACUCUAGUUCCUUACACUACCAUGGAGACAUCUAUAUUCAAGGCCUUUACUAGUCUAUAUAUUAAAAAGUCUAAAGAAGUGAAUAUGGCCACGGUUCCUCCAGUGGCGCCUUUUAAUGUCUGUUUUAAUUCAUCGACGUUGAUAAAGAUUAAUCCGAGAAUAGGAGUUCUUGUGCCAAGAAUCGAUCUGGUCUUGCCGAACAAUACAAGUUUUGGGUUCUUUGGACCGAGAAAUACUGUGAUACGUAUUAAUGAUGAAGUUACUUGUUUGGGAUUUGUUGAUGGAGGUUUAAAUCCGAGGACUUCGAUUGUUAUUGGUGGGCUUCAGUUGGAAGAAAAUCUUUUACAGUUCGAUAUUCCAAGAUCAAGAUUAGGAUUUAGUUCAACACUGUUGUUUAGGCCAACUAGUUGUUCCUACUUCAAAUCUCAAUUUUAAGGCCGAUUCAACUAUUAAGCUAUGGGAAUCCUGUAAAUCUCCCUCAGGUAUCUUCAAAGGGGCUUGGUGCAUCCCAGCAGUAGCAGAAGAUGCAGAGCAGGCAGAAGCAUUGGCUCUACUUGAAGCAAUUCAAAUAGCAAAAAGAGCUGGACUGACUAAGGUUCAUCUGGAAGGAGAUUGUGUCAAUGUAAUCAAUGCACUGACUGGAAGUUUAGGAUCAAUUAGAUGGAAAAAUAAUACAAUAAUCAGAGAUUGUAAUGAAUUAUUAAAAGUUUUCAAUAAUUGGGUGAUUAGGUAUGUACCAAGAGGAACAAAUUGUGUUGCAGAUUUGUUAGCAAAAGAUGCAAUUAGUAUGGCAUCUAGCUCUUGUUGGUCCAAUGAAGCUCCUAUGUGGCUUGACUCUCUUAUUAAAGAGAAACUAUGUGUUCAAGAAAUUUAAUUUUAAUGAAAUUCAUCUUUCCUA
This is a long non-coding RNA of Papaver somniferum (opium poppy), 1127 nucleotides long. RefSeq lists it as uncharacterized. The record is from RefSeq and is a predicted model, not a curated record. Lineage: Eukaryota; Viridiplantae; Streptophyta; Magnoliopsida; Ranunculales; Papaveraceae. The transcript has 2 exons.